CAAGAAAUAGUUUAUUUAAAAAUUAUAAUUUUGGAGAUUAUAGAUAGUCGUUUGAUUUUUCUUGA
RNAcentral lists this transfer RNA (65 nucleotides) under Cteniopus sp. AH-2016. RNAcentral's name for it is "tRNA-Pro". Lineage: Eukaryota; Metazoa; Arthropoda; Insecta; Coleoptera; Tenebrionidae. The record is from RNAcentral.